This 253-nucleotide ribosomal RNA is filed under the name Tepidisphaera sp. RNAcentral's name for it is "partial 16S ribosomal RNA". It matches the Rfam family "Bacterial small subunit ribosomal RNA", at positions 524 to 776 of the family's 1533-position model. The record is from RNAcentral. RNAcentral also lists the same sequence under 2 other names. Lineage: Bacteria; Pseudomonadati; Planctomycetota; Phycisphaerae; Tepidisphaerales; Tepidisphaeraceae.
UACAGAGGCCUCGAGCGUUAGGCGGAAUCACUGGGCUUAAAGCGUGUGUAGGCGGAUUGGUAAGUACCUUGUGAAAUCCCACAGCUUAACUGUGGAACUGCUCGGUAUACUGCUGAUCUUGAGCCACUCAGGGGCUACCGGAACAAAUGGUGGAGCGGUGAAAUGCGUAGAUAUCAUUUGGAACGCCAAUGGUGAAAACAGGUAGCUGGGGGUGUGCUGACGCUGAGACACGAAAGCCAGGGGAGCAAACGGG